CUGGAGUAGAGACCUCCAAUGUGAAGAUGUCUAUGAACCCGUUUGGCGAAAUAGCACUAGAAGAUGCACUCCGAAUAAAGUAGUCAGGUCGGGCCUCCGAGGUUGUGUCCAGUGUGCUGACACUCUCCGGACCGGGCUUGCAAUGGGGGCGGACCGGGCCAUCCACGUGGAUAAUCCGGGAAGUUUGUACCCGCUUUCCAUUGCGAAGAUUCUUAAAGCUCUUGUUGAAUUUGAAAAGCCUGGUCUUCUUCUAGUUCUACUUGGAAAAUAGGUAAAUUUUACAAUUUUUUUUUUUAUUUCGUAUUGUGGAGAAUUAUGCUAUGCAAUGGUUGAAAUUACUUCCAUUACCGUUUUGUACAUUCAAAAGACCUUUUUUUUCCCUUGGGUGCAUUCAUAUUGAGUUUUAUGUGAAAUUUGAUUGAUAAAUGCUUAUUUUCUUUAUAUAUUUUCAUUUGAAUAUAGCACCUUUAUGUGAAGUGGGAUUAUUGUGUACAUGGCGAAUUUAAAGAAAUGAAAUGGAUUUAAGUUGCUAAUUUAAGAAUAUAGUAAUGCUGAGGCAAGGUGCAAAUCUUGAAGCAUAAAGUUUUCAUACAAUUUUGAAAAAUAUGUUGUGCUUGUGCCUUGCUCUUGGCCUGCAUUCUUGCUAUUUACGAUGUCAUUUUUCUUUAUUUGUUUACAUUUUCUAGGUAAGCUUAUUUUUGGGAAAGGUAUGUGCAAGAAAAUUGGAUGAACUCAAAAAAGAAAACAUAGACACAUUUCUUUAAUUAUUCCAAGCAAUAGGAUGUUAGGGAAUAAGCCUAAUUCCAUUUUCGAUGGCAAUAAUGAAUGAGAUGAAAAAUAAAACAUACAAGUUUUAUGGUGGUUUGUCUCAAUUUGAGUGCUACGGUCUACUAAUAUUAUAUAUACAUACAUUUUAGUAAUAAAUUAGAUUGAUCGUUCUUAUUCGAAGUUCAUUGGUCAUUAUUGCGGAGUAUCAGUGGUCAACGCUUCCUUUUUGUAUUUUCCUUUUUUUAACGUGCAUCUCCGUGUAUCCUGAUAAAGAUACUAAAAUGAUAAUUUUUUUCCUCUUUUUUAAAAUCUUGUAGAUAAUGCGCUCCUGUUUCAGAGGAAAAAUCUUAUACUAGUUCCUUUUUAGAAAAGCGUGAGAAUUUGGAAUUGUGCAAAUUAUCCUCGUAUUUAUUUAGCGAGUCAUCAAGUAAAACUUCGGAGAGAGUGAUUAGGAAAACAUUUAUGUCUAGAAUGAAAGGUUUCAUAGAAUCUUCCGUUAUGUCUUGUGUUUAUCUGCUAGAAUACACUCAGACCAUUUGCAAUGUAGGAAAUUCUUGAUAAACAUUUUGAAAUGGAGCUAUUUGUUAUUUGAGACAUCUCAAAGUGGAUGUUAUAGCAAUAACGGUGUAAUAGAGACCAUUAACUUUUGGACACAUUUUUUUGAGACUGCAUAUAACUUUUAGCCUGCUCAAUGGAAAGUUUAGAAAUGAAAUUGCUUUUACAUUUAUUUGUAAGGAUGGUAACUGCUCCAGAUUAACCAUCUUAGACUUUUUUGAUGCAGGCUAUGAUGCUUGGACUCGGGUACGGAUACGUAUCUAAGUGUCGGAUCUUUUAUUUUUUUAAAUGUAGGAUACGGAGACAUGGCUAAAAAGAGUCUAAAUUUUGGACACGGGUACGUGGAUACAUAUUUGAAACUUCAAUUUUUUUACUAAAGAUGUUAUUUUGAAUAGACCAGAAUCAAUUGUUCACAAAGAAGGAAAUAGUAUUAAAUAAGGGAUUAAGACUUAUAAAAUAGAAUCUUGAGAUUUAGUUUUCAAUUAUGAGAAGUUAAGUACUAAAUGUUAUAUAAAAUAGAAAAUGAGGAACUUGAUUGCAAUUUGAAUUUAGUGAGCACUAAAUAGUAUUGUAUGGAACCUAUUUUCAUUUUAUACAAACAAAACUCUAAACUGCAAAUGCAGAGAGGAAAGAAUGAAAAAAAGGAGAGCCUUUCUCCCCCCUCUCGGAGAUAGCGCUAGGUUUAUAGAGAGUAGAAAAAAAAAAGCAAAAAAGAGCGAAGUGUUCGGUUGAAAUUUGGAGGAUCCGAUAUAUAUCCCAUACCCAUACACAUGUCGUGUCGUAUCCGACACGAGUACUUCAACCAUUUCGAAGAAUCCGAGCAUCAGAGGAUGUAGGUCCAUUCAUCUGCCCAAUAAUAUAAUUGGUGUAGUUAACAUCAAUCUUUGACCCUCAUUUUGUUGUUGCAUUGGAUGUAGCUAUGUAGAAAUAAAAUGGUUAUUUGUCCAUUAUGAUAUUAGAUAAUAAUUUUUCUUGCAAGGGUUGAUUUUUGAAAAACUGACAUUGAAAAACGUAAAGAAUGUAUUCACUUACUGUGCCAUUCCUUAAUUAAAUCACUAUAUCAAUUAAAUCACUAUAUCAAUGAUUUUUGAAGUUUCAGUAACUGCUACUGCAUUGUCAUGGCGUUUGAUAAUGGAUGCUCUUGGUUAUAAAUAUUUUGCUGUUUUACUAGUUAGAAAAUUCUCCGUUCUAUAAUUAGUGUAUUAUAGAGUUCUUUGAAUUAUAUCUCUUUACCUCUUAAAGAAUUUUGAAUCGAACUACCUUCUUGUUACCAAUAUCUGCCUGAUCACUGUUUCUGAUGUUCAAAUUUUGUUCAGGCAAUUGACAAUGACUGCAACCAGACAGGCCAAAUGGUUGCUGGGCUUCUCAAAUGGCCUCAAGGGACCUUUGCCUCCAAGGUUAGCAUUGCAGUCCUCAAGCUUUAUAUAAUAUUAGAUGAAAUUCAUCUUUUUCUCAGAAGUAAUAAUGUGAUGAAUACAUGUAUUAAAAUGUUGAUUUUUCUUGAUUCUGAAAAUUUUUGGACUGAUGAAGCCUAUCUUUCUGUCAAUAGGUAUUAGUAUAAUAUUAACACAAGUUACUUGUUGCUGAUCUGAAUUACUAUGUUGUUGAACCCUUUUAAAAUUUACAGUUAGUGCUAAUUUCUUCCUCUUUUUCCCUCGUGUACCCUCUCUUUGAGCUAAUUCAUUUUUCUGGUCAUUUUUGGUUGUGAUCUUUAUUUCCCCUUUUGACUGCCAUCUAGUAAUAAGAGUCACUGAGUCCGGCUGUAAACAAGGAAGAAUCAAAAUACAACAUGGGGAAUAAGUCAAUCAAAUAGUAUGUAUUAAUUUGGGUUUUAAACAAAAUGGAUUGCUUGUCAGAUAAAUUUUUUCCAAACUUGAACCAAGGAGCAGCUUAUCCUUUCUUUUGUAUUGGGAAAACAGCAUAAGAAUGAGAUUUUGUAACUUGACUUCUUUCUAAAGCUUGGAAGAAAAUGAAAUAUGAAUGGCUGCUCUGAUUGUAGUAAGGAAAUAUGUAAAAGUAAUUGUGUGCACUCUCUAACUCUGUGUCUCAAAAUUUUCUUUAUUCUUAAAUUCCUGCUAGAUAAUUUUUGUGGCGUCCUUGCAGUGAUAUAGAUCUUAUCAUUCAACUGUUGAGUGGCUAAAAUAUGUAUUUGACUAGCCUCUAUGAUUACGCUCUUGUUUAACUUGGUGGCCUUGUGAAUCCAUCAUGACCGUCUUUCUAUAUUCUGUCUACUGACUUUUGCAUGGUAAAGUUACACAAUUAUAAAUAGAAGUAGAUUAUAAUUGUUAUUUAGCAUCAUCAACACAUUUUUACCCUUCUCGAGAAUUUAAGGUUUUAUUUGUUUGAUCAUAUCAUAUGGCAUGUAAUCACUUUCUUGUAGGGGCAAGUAUUUUAACAGGAGUCAAAUCUCUCGAAUCAAAACCAAACCAUAAUUGGAGGUUCAGGUCCAGUUAUUAAACGGACCCAAAUAAUUUUAUUUAUGAAAUACUCAAAGUGUAAGAGGUAGUUCUAGGUAUUAAAAUACCCGGACUGACACCAUCUGACGCCUAGGCCUACUUUCUUGCACAUUAGUGUCCUGAAAAUUGAGCAGAGGGGAAGAGAUGAAAUCCUUUGACCCUUCCAAAGAUAAAGAAGUUUAGCACUAAAAAUUUCCGUCUUUUCAUUGAAUUCUUAAAUCAGGGAAAGCAAUGUUGAUCUGCAAUUUUGGUUGCCUUGUUCAUAUUAUUUACAGCUUCUCUUACCCUUGUGCUCCUCUCUGAUUCCACACAUAAAUUUAUAUGUUCUUUAUAUGUCUUGUCAGUUGUGUACUUUCGAAAGUUCUGGUGCGGCAAACAAAUACAUGCAAAUCUUAAACAUGAACAGCAUUGAUAGAAUUAUUCAAGUAGUUAUGUUACUAGUAAUUUCUUUGACAAAAUUCUGUUAUCACUGUUGUCAUUCACUACAAAUCUCAUAAUCCAAACGUCAGUUGAAGCUUGUCACUCAUGCUCUACCAUCUUCAUUUGUUUUUCAUGGAGCCAGCUGAAGUCUGCUCUUUCAUGGUGUUUGAAAGAUCCCCUUUUCCUUGGUUACAGUCCAUGUGCAUUUGUUCUACUUUCUAUCUAAACUUACAUUUUCCUGAAAAUUAAGAAACAGGUAGUAACGGUGGACAGAGAGGUUGAUGGCGGUCUUGAGACUUUGUGUUUGGAAUUACCUGCAGUAAUCACGUAAACGUUUCUUUCUAUGCUGCUAUAGCUUAUUUUCAGAAGACAUUUUAUAUGUGUAUACAUUCUUUGGUGGAUGCUUUUCCUGAAUUUUAUGUUCUUCUGUUCAAGUCAAGAAAAUGGGAAAAAGGAGUUAAUAAUAUUAAAUUUACUUGCACAAGUCAUGACCAGAGUCCAGUUGCCAGGUGACGUAAACAACUUAGUUUGGAGCAAGUGCCUAAAGGAGUGUGCAAGUAAUGUUUUUAGGUUAUGUUACGUGCAUUUGGAGGGCAAUGGCUUUGAACAAGACAACGAGUCUUUUUUAGACACUGAAAUCUUUGAACACUCGUGGACUUGUCUCUAAUGCUUCUGCCAUUGGAUGUGCUCAUAUCAAUAAUUUCCUUCGUUUUUUACAUUCUGGCCGUAGUCGGACACUUGACAUGUUCGAAUUUAAGCAUAAAUUCCUCAUUUAGUGAAGAAAUUAUCAUAUAGACUUGUGAGCAUCUGCUUCUUCUUCCUUUAUUUGUUUUUUUUUUUUUGGUUUUUUUCUUCCCUUAAUUUUGGACUGAAAGGAAACUUAUU
Molecule: long non-coding RNA, 5084 nt
Filed under: Olea europaea subsp. europaea
Lineage: Eukaryota; Viridiplantae; Streptophyta; Magnoliopsida; Lamiales; Oleaceae
Source: RNAcentral